ACCGUUUUAAUAAUCAUUCAAAUCACAGGUCGUGGGUGGGUGUAUGACUUAAUACAAUGAUUUGGUUCAUCAGUGGUUCAUGAAAUCAUCAGUGACAUAUCCACAUUACAUCAUGAACAUCAAUUGAUUACAUCAUCAUGAUUUUAAAGUUCAUCAGUUCGGUUGUUUGAGUACUUUUAAAAAAAAUGCACAGAAUCUUGAAGGUAGUUGUUUGCAAGAAAAGGAGAAACCGCCUGGGUGCUCGCCGUGCCAUCAGAAUCAUUAUCUCAGCCGCUCGACUCCUUAAACCCUCUGAAAGGGUAACGGUAGUAACUCAUUCCUCACUUGGUGGUUUCCCAUCCUGUAUGGCUCUCAGGUCUUCAGUCAUGAUAACUCACUGUCCCUCAUGAAUCACAGGGCCUGAGGUGAAGACAGACGACUCAUCUCCUUCGCCAUCUGUCCCCUUUUGACAAGCUUGUCGAAGGAAGAUGUCGGUUCAUCAUCAUAACGCUCUCUGCUACAGCGGCUCUAGUCUCCUCUCCCGCAGCGGCUCUAGGUCUCCUCUCACGCAGCGGCUCUAGUCUCCUCUGCCGCAGCGGCUCUAGUCUCCUCUGCCGCAGCGGCUCUAGUCUCCUCUGCCGCAGCGGCUCUAGUCUCCUCUGCCGCAGCGGCUCUAGUCUCCUCUGCCGCAGCGGCUCUAGUCUCCUCUCACGCAGCGGCUCUAGUCUCCUCUCCCGCAGCGGCUCUAGGUCUCCUCUCACGCAGCGGCUCUAGGUCUCCUCUCACGCAGCGGCUCUAGGUCUCCUCUGCUACAGCGGCUCUAGGUCUCCUCUCACGCAGCGGCUCUAGGUCUCCUCUGCUACAGCGGCUCUAGGUCUCCUCUGCUACAGCGGCUCUAGGUCUCCUCUCACGCAGCGGCUCUAGGUCUCCUCUCACGCAGCGGCUCUAGGUCUCCUCUCCCGCAGCGGCUCUAGUUCUCCUCUCACGCAGCGGCUCUAGGUCUCCUCUCCCGCAGCGGCUCUAGGUCUCCUCUGCUACAGCGGCUCUAGUCUCCUCUGCUACAGCGGCUCUAGGUCUGUACCAGAAGUGUGAAAGCUGAUACAGGCUUUCUAAACCUGACCUCUGCCUCGUCUCUCCUCUUAUCCCCCCCCCACCCCAG
Oncorhynchus tshawytscha (Chinook salmon) is the source of this 1138-nucleotide long non-coding RNA. The record is from Ensembl. Lineage: Eukaryota; Metazoa; Chordata; Actinopteri; Salmoniformes; Salmonidae.